GACGAACGCUGGCGGCGUGCUUAACACAUGCAAGUCGAACGGUGAAGGGGCCUGCUUUUGUGGGCCCUGGAUGAGUGGCGAACGGGUGAGUAACACGUGAGUAACCUGCCCCCUUCUUCUGGAUAACCGCAUGAAAGUGUGGCUAAUACGGGAUAUUCUGGGUCUGUCGCAUGAUGGGUCUGGGAAAGAUUGCGCCUUUGGGUGUUUUUGGUGGGGGAUGGGCUCGCGGCCUAUCAGCUUGUUGGUGGGGUGAUGGCCUACCAAGGCGGUGACGGGUAGCCGGCCUGAGAGGGUGGACGGUCACACUGGGACUGAGACACGGCCCAGACUCCUACGGGAGGCAGCAGUGGGGAAUAGUGCACAAUGGGCGCAAGCCUGAUGCAGCGACGCCGCGUGAGGGAGGGAGGCCUUCGGGGUGUAAACCUCUUUCGCCAGUGAAGCAGGCCUGCUCCUUGUGGGUGGGUUGACGGUAGCUGGAUAAGAAGCGCCGGCUAACUACGUG
Molecule: ribosomal RNA, 502 nt
Filed under: uncultured bacterium
Lineage: Bacteria
Description: partial 16S ribosomal RNA
Rfam family: Bacterial small subunit ribosomal RNA
Source: RNAcentral